Oncorhynchus keta (chum salmon) is the source of this 341-nucleotide long non-coding RNA. RefSeq lists it as uncharacterized. The record is from RefSeq and is a predicted model, not a curated record. The transcript is spliced from 4 exons. NCBI's taxonomy places the organism in Eukaryota, Metazoa, Chordata, Actinopteri, Salmoniformes, Salmonidae.
GGGUGGAGCAGUCCUUUCAGGAACCAAAGCCACAUGGGACACAGUGCCACCAAUUGGUCAUGGGUUGUGUUUGAUGUUGUAAAGACAGCGUGUGUCAGAGUGUGUCUCCUUGUUAUUUCCUGGAGGCUGUGGGACAGAACGUCCACCACGCAAUGCCCCCGACUGAGGAGCAAUACUGCACUGAAUCAAAGAUGUUGCUGUAUUUCAAAGGCCAAUUCAGACGAGAUUAAAAACGCCCUGCACCACAUUUGCUAGCCAUCCAAAGCUGGAUAUUACAAGUGCAAAAUAUGCGCUGUAUUGUUGGUUUUGAUACAAUGCUCCAGAGUUUUCAAAUAAAUAAA